RNAcentral lists this ribosomal RNA (254 nucleotides) under uncultured bacterium. Its description in RNAcentral is "partial 16S ribosomal RNA". It matches the Rfam family "Bacterial small subunit ribosomal RNA", at positions 524 to 776 of the family's 1533-position model. The record is from RNAcentral.
CACGUAGGGACCAAGCGUUGUCCGGAUUCAUUGGGCGUAAAGAGCUCGUAGGCGGUUCGAUAAGUCGGGUGUGAAACCUCCAGGCUCAACCUGGAGACGCCACCCGAUACUGUCGUGACUAGAGUCCAGUAGGGGAGACUGGAAUUCCUGGUGUAGCGGUGAAAUGCGCAGAUAUCAGGAGGAACACCGGUGGCGAAGGCGGGUCUCUGGGCCGAUACUGACGCUGAGGAGCGAAAGCGUGGGGAGCAAACAGG